GGAGACAUACUCAAGUGGUUAAGAGGGCAUCUUGGAAAGGUGUUAGAGGCGUAAGCUGUCAAGCGUUCGAAUCGCUUUGUCUCCGCCA
Molecule: transfer RNA, 88 nt
Filed under: Mycoplasmataceae bacterium
Lineage: Bacteria; Bacillati; Mycoplasmatota; Mollicutes; Mycoplasmatales; Mycoplasmataceae
Description: tRNA-Ser
Rfam family: tRNA
About the family: Transfer RNA (tRNA) molecules are approximately 80 nucleotides in length. Their secondary structure includes four short double-helical elements and three loops (D, anti-codon, and T loops). Further hydrogen bonds mediate the characteristic L-shaped molecular structure. tRNAs have two regions of fundamental functional importance: the anti-codon, which is responsible for specific mRNA codon recognition, and the 3' end, to which the tRNAs corresponding amino acid is attached (by aminoacyl-tRNA synthetases). tRNAs cope with the degeneracy of the genetic code in two manners: having more than one tRNA (with a specific anti-codon) for a particular amino acid; and 'wobble' base-pairing, i.e. permitting non-standard base-pairing at the 3rd anti-codon position.
Source: RNAcentral